Podarcis lilfordi (Lilford's wall lizard) is the source of this 77-nucleotide non-coding RNA. Lineage: Eukaryota; Metazoa; Chordata; Lepidosauria; Squamata; Lacertidae. The record is from the annotation of a GenBank genome assembly.
AGUGGUGGGCCAUGGCUAAGUGGUACAGCAUCUGCUUUGGAUGCAGAAGGUCCCAGGUUCAAUCCCCAGCAUCUCUU